UUCAUUAAUGAUUCAUAGUUAAUUGGUGUGU
This 31-nucleotide non-coding RNA is filed under the name Mus musculus (house mouse). The record is from RNAcentral. Lineage: Eukaryota; Metazoa; Chordata; Mammalia; Rodentia; Muridae.